Molecule: transfer RNA, 73 nt
Filed under: Streptacidiphilus jiangxiensis
Lineage: Bacteria; Bacillati; Actinomycetota; Actinomycetes; Kitasatosporales; Streptomycetaceae
Rfam family: tRNA
About the family: Transfer RNA (tRNA) molecules are approximately 80 nucleotides in length. Their secondary structure includes four short double-helical elements and three loops (D, anti-codon, and T loops).
Source: Rfam by way of RNAcentral
GUGGGCGUAGCUCAGCUGGUAGAGCACUGCGUUGUGGUCGCAGGUGUCGCGGGUUCGAGCCCCGUCGCUCACC